CGCAGCCGCGGUAAUUCCAGCUCCAAUAGCGUAUAUUAAAGUUGUUGCAGUUAAAAAGCUCGUAGUUGAAUUUCGGGGUUCUACCGUUGGUCAGGCUAUUGUUUGUACUGGCGUGUAGAAUUUCUACCUUCUGGGGAACUAUCAUGUUAUUAAUUUAGCGUGGUAGGAAACCAGGACCUUUACCUUGAAAAAAUUAGAGUGUUCAAAGCAGGCUUAUGUCUGAAUACAUUAGCAUGGAAUAAUAAAAUAGGACGGUGGUCCUGUUUUGUUGGUUUCUGAAUCACCGUAAUGAUUAAUAGGGAUAGUUGGGGGCAUUAGUAUUCAAUUGUCAGAGGUGAAAUUCUUGGAUUUAUUGAAGACUAACUACUGCGAAAGCAUUUGCCAAGGAUGUUUUCAUUAAUCAAGAACGAAGGUUAGGGGAUCGAAAACGAUCAGAUACCGUUGUAGUCUUAACAGUAAACUAUGCCGACUAGGGAUCGGAUGAUGUUAAUUUUAUAAUGACUCA
This 505-nucleotide ribosomal RNA is filed under the name uncultured organism. RNAcentral's name for it is "SSU rRNA". It matches the Rfam family "Eukaryotic small subunit ribosomal RNA", at positions 569 to 1078 of the family's 1831-position model. The record is from RNAcentral.